This 463-nucleotide ribosomal RNA is filed under the name uncultured bacterium. RNAcentral describes it as "partial 16S ribosomal RNA". It matches the Rfam family "Bacterial small subunit ribosomal RNA", at positions 28 to 507 of the family's 1533-position model. The record is from RNAcentral.
GACGAACGCUGGCGGCGUGCUUAACACAUGCAAGUCGAACGGAAAGGCCUUUUCGGCGGUACUCGAGUGGCGAACGGGUGCGUAACACUUGGGUGAUCUUCCCUGCACUCUGGUAUAAGCCUGGUAAACUGGGUCUAAUACCGGUUAGGACCGCACUUUAGUGCGUGUGGUGGAAAGGUUUUUUGGUGUAGGAUGAGCCCGCGGGCUAUCAGCUUGUUGGUGCGGUGAUGGCCUACCAAGGCGGCGACGGGUAGCGGUACGUAGAGGUUGGGCGGCGACAUAGAGACUGAGGGGCGGCAGAGGUUGCGAAGGUAGGCAGAAGUGGGGAAGCUUGAACAAUGGACGCAGGGCGGAUGCAGAGAGGCCGCGUGGGGGAAGACGGUCUUCGGGUUGAAAAAAAGUUGCGCCAGGAACGAAGCGUUUUGUGACGGUACCUAAAGAAGAAGCACCGGCUAACUACGUG